UACGUAGGGGGCAAGCGUUGUUCGGAAUUACUGGGCGUAAAGGGCGCGUAGGUGGCCUUCUAAGUUGAACGUGAAAUCCCUGGGCUCAACCCAGGAACUGCGUCCAAGACUGGGAGGCUUGAAUCCGGGAGAGGGAUGCGGAAUUCCAGGUGUAGCGGUGAAAUGCGUAGAUAUCAGGAGGAACACCGGUGGUGUAGACGGCUUACUGGACCAUGACUGACGCUGAGGCACGAAAGCGUGGGGAGCAAACAGG
This 253-nucleotide ribosomal RNA is filed under the name uncultured bacterium. RNAcentral's name for it is "partial 16S ribosomal RNA". It matches the Rfam family "Bacterial small subunit ribosomal RNA", at positions 524 to 776 of the family's 1533-position model. The record is from RNAcentral.